Molecule: transfer RNA, 86 nt
Filed under: Pseudomonadota bacterium
Lineage: Bacteria; Pseudomonadati; Pseudomonadota
Also listed under: 10 other names
Description: tRNA-Ser
Rfam family: tRNA
About the family: Transfer RNA (tRNA) molecules are approximately 80 nucleotides in length. Their secondary structure includes four short double-helical elements and three loops (D, anti-codon, and T loops). Further hydrogen bonds mediate the characteristic L-shaped molecular structure. tRNAs have two regions of fundamental functional importance: the anti-codon, which is responsible for specific mRNA codon recognition, and the 3' end, to which the tRNAs corresponding amino acid is attached (by aminoacyl-tRNA synthetases). tRNAs cope with the degeneracy of the genetic code in two manners: having more than one tRNA (with a specific anti-codon) for a particular amino acid; and 'wobble' base-pairing, i.e. permitting non-standard base-pairing at the 3rd anti-codon position.
Source: RNAcentral
GGAGGGAUGGCCGAGUGGUUUAAGGCGGCGGUCUUGAAAACCGUUGAGUGAAAGCUCCGUGGGUUCGAAUCCUACUCCCUCCGCCA